AUAAUAAUCUGAUAUCCAUGGAUGUUUUAAACUGAUUCUCUUGUAAAAUAAAAAUAAAGAAUUUGUAAAAGAAUAAAAGAGAAAAAGCUGCUUGAGCUAAUUUGGUGAUGAUGGAAACAUAAUUAACAGAAAUUUAAAUUGGCCUAAUGUCCAUAUCAUCUUGGAGUUUAAAGAAUUGAUUAAGAAAACUCCAGCAGACUUCAUGUCUUUCCAAAACGAUGCCAUAUUGGCCUUUAUGGAUCCUCCUACAUGCAGGGAAAAUCUACCUGCUCUGAUUUGACUUUUCUGCGCAGAACGAGUGACGUAACUGACAAAGUUCUGACUGACCUGAACGAACAGACUGACGUUUACUUGACCUUUUCCUUCCAGCAGGAUUUUCUCCAGGACGCUACUCUGCUUCCACACAGGGAUGGUUGCUGUGUUUCAUAAUGCCGCUAACUCUCAUGCCAUUAACCAGAAACACCUUUAUUUUCCUGAUAACCAGGACUGAUGAUGUGGAUCUGCCUACAGGAGAAGACGUCUAUACUAAAUCUCUUUUGAAUAUGUGUAUGAUAUUUCAAAAUAAGGCAUUUCUUGUCCUCUAUGUCUUGUCUUGAAGUCCCUUUCAGACAGCAAUAACAUGCAAAUCUGUCUGGCAUUAAAA
This is a long non-coding RNA of Melanotaenia boesemani (Boeseman's rainbowfish), 643 nucleotides long. RefSeq lists it as uncharacterized. NCBI's taxonomy places the organism in Eukaryota, Metazoa, Chordata, Actinopteri, Atheriniformes, Melanotaeniidae. The transcript has 3 exons. The record is from RefSeq and is a predicted model, not a curated record.